UGCAUAGGUUCUUUCUCUUCAGCACCCUCUGCUGGUCAUAGUGGGAAUACUCACAAGCUUAUAUUUUGGUGGGGUUUUUCUGUGUUCCUGUGGGUAGAGGAAACAGGAAGCUGAUCGCUUGUUAGCCUGCAGAAUAUGCUGUUUGUCGCCUUAGAUUCUCUUUAAAACGUUUCUGCCUUGGAGAGUUAUUGCUUUUUUACGGGAAGAAAAGGAUGUCAAUCACUGAGCUAUUGACGAAGUAAAAAGCCUUAAACUUACUUCCGCCUCCAAUGUUCAUUGAAGCCGUUAGCUGUCUGUCAAGUUGGGCAAAGGGACGCACAAUAAGGACAGAACAACAAGGAAGUUUUGGCCAGCCCGUGUGGAUUAAGAGUCCCCAAUAUCAACCCACCACGACCACCACCUUAAUUUUUUCAUCAACAGCCUUAAAUUUGG
Oreochromis niloticus (Nile tilapia) is the source of this 432-nucleotide long non-coding RNA. RefSeq lists it as uncharacterized. The record is from RefSeq and is a predicted model, not a curated record. Lineage: Eukaryota; Metazoa; Chordata; Actinopteri; Cichliformes; Cichlidae. The transcript is spliced from 3 exons.